RNAcentral lists this ribosomal RNA (254 nucleotides) under Coras perplexus. RNAcentral describes it as "partial 12S ribosomal RNA". The record is from RNAcentral. Lineage: Eukaryota; Metazoa; Arthropoda; Arachnida; Araneae; Agelenidae.
AUCGAUAAUCCGCGUUAANUUUCACUUUGCUUAUAAAUUUAUAUACCGCCAUCUUAAGAAUUAAUUAAAAAAUAUUUCUCUAAAAAACCAAUAAAAAGUUAGGUCAAGGUAUAAUUUACAUUAAAGAAUGAGAUGAAUUACACUAAAUAAAAUUUAAAGACUAUAUAUUUAUAUAUUUAUACAAAUAAGGAUUUAAAAGUAAUAUUUAAAUAAUAUUAUAAUAUGAUAUAAUAAAAAAUGUGCACACAUCGCCC